UAUGGCGACCGGCGCACGGGUGAGUAACGCGUAUGCAACUUACCUAUCAGAGGGGGAUAGCCCGGCGAAAGUCGGAUUAAUACCCCAUAAAACAGGGGUCCCGCAUGGGAAUAUUUGUUAAAGAUUCAUCGCUGAUAGAUAGGCAUGCGUUUCAUUAGGCAGUUGGCGGGGUAACGGCCCACCAAACCGACGAUGGAUAGGGGUUCUGAGAGGAAGGUCCCCCACAUUGGUACUGAGACACGGACCAA
RNAcentral lists this ribosomal RNA (248 nucleotides) under uncultured bacterium. RNAcentral describes it as "partial 16S ribosomal RNA". It matches the Rfam family "Bacterial small subunit ribosomal RNA", at positions 87 to 334 of the family's 1533-position model. The record is from RNAcentral.